GAUGAACGCUGGCGGCGUGCCUAACACAUGCAAGUCGAGCGGGAAAUCUCCGAUUGAAACUUGGUCGAUUGACGAGAUGGAGAGCGGCGACGGGUGAGUAACGCGUAGGCAACCUGCCCUUUGCAGAGGGAUAGCCACUGGAAACGGUGAUUAAAACCUUGGUGGUGACGGAUGGGCAUGCGGUGCAUUAGCUAGUUGGUGAGGUAACGGCUCACCAAGGCGACGAUGCAUAGGGGUUCUGAGAGGAAGGUCCCCCACACUGGUACUGAGACACGGACCAGACUCCUACGGGAGGCAGCAGUGAGGAAUAUUGGUCAAUGGUCGAGAGACUGAACCAGCCAAGUCGCGUGAGGGAAGACUGCCCUAUGGGUUGUAAACCUCUUUAGUCGGGGAGCAAAAAGCGGACGUGUCCGCCAUUGAGCGUACCCGAAGAAUAAGCAUCGGCUAACUCCGUG
RNAcentral lists this ribosomal RNA (455 nucleotides) under uncultured bacterium. RNAcentral's name for it is "bacterial SSU rRNA". It matches the Rfam family "Bacterial small subunit ribosomal RNA", at positions 28 to 507 of the family's 1533-position model. The record is from RNAcentral.